CCUACGGGAGGCAGCAGUGGGGAAUAUUGCGCAAUGGGCGGAAGCCUGACGCAGCGACGCCGCGUGGGGGAUGACGGCCUUCGGGUUGUAAACCUCUUUCAGCAGGGACGAAGCGAGAGUGACGGUACCUGCAGAAGAAGCACCGGCCAACUACGUGCCAGCAGCCGCGGUAAUACGUAGGGUGCAAGCGUUGUCCGGAAUUAUUGGGCGUAAAGAGCUCGUAGGCGGUUUGUUGCGUCGGCUGUGAAAUCCCGAGGCUCAACCUCGGGUCUGCAGUCGAUACGAGCAAACUAGAGUGUUGCAGGGGAGACUGGAAUUCCUGGUGUAGCGGUGAAAUGCGCAGAUAUCAGGAGGAACACCGGUGGCGAAGGCGGGUCUCUGAGCAACAACUGACGCUGAGGAGCGAAAGCGUGGGGAGCGAACAGGAUUAGAUACCCUGGUAGUCCACGCCGUAAACGUUGGGCGCUAGGUGUGGGGCUCAUUCCACGAGUUCCGUGCCGCAGCUAACGCAUUGAGCGCCCCGCCUGGGGAGUACGGCCGCAAGGCUAAAACUCAAAGGAAUUGACGGGGGCCCGCACAAGCGGCGGAGCAUGUUGCUUAAUUCGAUGCAACGCGAAGAACCUUACCUAGGCUUGACAUGCACGGAAAUCUCGCAGAGAUGCGGGGUCCGUAAGGGCCGUGCACAGGUGGUGCAUGGUUGUCGUCAGCUCGUGUCGUGAGAUGUUGGGUUAAGUCCCGCAACGAGCGCAACCCUCGUUCUAUGUUGCCAGCACGUCAUGGUGGGGGACUCAUAGGAGACUGCCGGGGG
Molecule: ribosomal RNA, 808 nt
Filed under: uncultured bacterium
Lineage: Bacteria
Description: bacterial SSU rRNA
Rfam family: Bacterial small subunit ribosomal RNA
Source: RNAcentral